This 93-nucleotide transfer RNA is filed under the name Bacillota bacterium. Its description in RNAcentral is "Firmicutes bacterium (anaerobic digester metagenome) tRNA-Ser". It matches the Rfam family "tRNA". From Rfam's summary of the family: Transfer RNA (tRNA) molecules are approximately 80 nucleotides in length. Their secondary structure includes four short double-helical elements and three loops (D, anti-codon, and T loops). Further hydrogen bonds mediate the characteristic L-shaped molecular structure. tRNAs have two regions of fundamental functional importance: the anti-codon, which is responsible for specific mRNA codon recognition, and the 3' end, to which the tRNAs corresponding amino acid is attached (by aminoacyl-tRNA synthetases). tRNAs cope with the degeneracy of the genetic code in two manners: having more than one tRNA (with a specific anti-codon) for a particular amino acid; and 'wobble' base-pairing, i.e. permitting non-standard base-pairing at the 3rd anti-codon position. Lineage: Bacteria; Bacillati; Bacillota. The record is from RNAcentral.
GGAGAGAUGCUGGAGUUUGGCUGAACAGGCACGACUGGAAAUCGUGUAGGGGUGAUGAGCCCCUCGAGGGUUCGAAUCCCUCUCUCUCCGCCA